Molecule: long non-coding RNA, 668 nt
Organism: Herpailurus yagouaroundi (jaguarundi)
Lineage: Eukaryota; Metazoa; Chordata; Mammalia; Carnivora; Felidae
Exons: 3
Source: RefSeq, a predicted model, not a curated record
CUGUGAAAGCCCCAGCGGAGUCCCGAACCCCCCACCCGGAUCUCGAAGGAUGCGCUUGACGAACUCUGAGGGCCCACUGCCGUGGCGCGGGGGCAAAGCAGAGCAUGCAUGCAUCCACUUCUUGUGAAGUUAAAAUACAGCGCGAACUCUUGUUAGAGAGUGGAAUGAAUGUCCAUUCUCCGAGAAAAAAGAUUUUUUAAAGCAUGCUUUUAUACUAAUUAAUGGGCUGUACGGGGGUUGUUUAUUCACUAAAGCUGCCCCAGUUUAGUCUUCUUAUGCCACAAUAUGGGACGAUCCCUCGCGGCUUCCUGGUAAUGAAUGACCCGAGGGUAACACCAACACAACCUUCGAGAAAAGGCGGACCAUUUCCCCAAGCCCGAGAUCUGCAGGACUGAAAUGAAAUAUUUUGAGCUCUUCUAGCUGACUCAUCAGAAUCCUGGAGCAUUUUUUAAAAUGACGAGUGAAUAGACUAUAAGCAGCCAUCUCUUUCUCAUGCAGUCCAGCCUGAAAUGGAAAUUGUAGGUUUUAAUGAUUGAAAAUGGAAAUUGAUAGAACACACGUGCCCAAGAGAAAUGCAUCUCCGGUUCCUUCAGUCCUGAAAGAUAGGAUGUUGAUCAGCGGUCCCAGAAGCAUUGCCUUGAUUUCUCAGAGUUUGUUAAAAGCUGGGG